AUGGCGGUUCGCGGCGGGAAGGCCCUGGUCGUAGCCAUGCUCAUCUCCUUGCUCCUGGUCCAGGGGGGCCUCGGGGAAUUCCGAUGCUGCCACUGCCGUGUGUACCGCAAGUGCAUGAACAACCCUCGCCGCAAGCCCACUGAAGAAGGCUACAACUACUGCAUCCUGAAAUCCUUCAAGGACUGCAGGGCUGCCUUCAAGCAUGGCUGCCCCAAGUCGGGCUGCAAGCAGCGUGCUGACCCCGACAUGGGUGCGGCCUUUGCAGCUGCAGCCGGUGGUCGCAACCACAGCGAGAGAAAACAGCUCCAUGAGAGCUCGACUGCUGGAGGAUCAGGGUGGUAUGUUGGAUUGGAGGACAAGAAAUAUUCGGCCGCAGCCCAGGCUGAGAAUAUAUGA
Molecule: ribosomal RNA, 396 nt
Filed under: Triticum aestivum (bread wheat)
Lineage: Eukaryota; Viridiplantae; Streptophyta; Magnoliopsida; Poales; Poaceae
Description: partial small subunit ribosomal RNA
Source: RNAcentral